This 465-nucleotide ribosomal RNA is filed under the name uncultured bacterium. RNAcentral's name for it is "partial 16S ribosomal RNA". It matches the Rfam family "Bacterial small subunit ribosomal RNA", at positions 28 to 507 of the family's 1533-position model. The record is from RNAcentral.
GACGAACGCUGGCGGCGUGCUUAACACAUGCAAGUCGAACGGAAAGGCCCUUCUUGCAGGGUACUCGAGUGGCGAACGGGUGAGUAACACUUGGGUGCUCUGCUCUGCACUUCGGGAUAAUCUUGGGAAACUUGGUCUAAUACCGGAUAGUAGCCAUCUUUAUUGUGGUGGUUGGAAAGUUUUUUCGGUGUAGGAUGAGCUCGCGGCCUAUCAGCUUGUUGGUGGGGUAAUGGCCUACCAAGGCGGCGACGGGUAGCCGGCCUGAGAGGGUGUACGGCCACAUUGGGAAAGAGAUACGGCCAAGAAUCAGACGGGAGGAAGGAGUGAGGAAUAGUGCACAAAGGGAGCAAGCCUGAGGCAGGGACGCCGCGUGGGGGAGGAAGGACUUCGGGUUGUAAACUGCUUAAGCUAGGGACGAAGCUUUUUGUGACGGUACCUAGAGAAGAAGCACCGGCUAACUACGUG